GCACUCCGGAGAAUCCCAACCGUAGAUUGGGUGCCGAAGGGGCAAGCGCGUACGCGUCAAUCUCUCAGGCAAAAGGACGGAGCU
This 84-nucleotide non-coding RNA is filed under the name uncultured Ruminococcus sp. RNAcentral describes it as "Glycine riboswitch". It matches the Rfam family "Glycine riboswitch aptamer", at positions 9 to 86 of the family's 94-position model. From Rfam's summary of the family: This family represents the bacterial glycine riboswitch. Glycine riboswitches usually consist of two metabolite-binding aptamers domains with similar structures in tandem. Lineage: Bacteria; Bacillati; Bacillota; Clostridia; Eubacteriales; Oscillospiraceae. The record is from RNAcentral.